RNAcentral lists this ribosomal RNA (360 nucleotides) under Cotesia chilonis. RNAcentral describes it as "partial 16S ribosomal RNA". Lineage: Eukaryota; Metazoa; Arthropoda; Insecta; Hymenoptera; Braconidae. The record is from RNAcentral.
CUGCUCAAUGAAUAAUUUUAAAUAGCUGCAGUAUAAAUAACUGUACAAAGGUAGCAUAAUAAUUUGAUUUUUAAUUGAAAACUAGAAUGAAUGAUUAAAUGAAAUAUAAACUAUAUCAAAUUUAAAAAAUAAAUUUAUUAUUUAAAUAAAAAAAUUUAAAUAAUUUUUAAAGACGAGAAGACCCUAAAGAAUUUUAAUAAUAAAUUAUAAUAUAAAUUUAAAAUUUAUUAUAUUAAUUGGGGAAAUUUUAAAAUUUAAAAAAUUUUUAAUUAAAUAAACAUAAAUUUUUGAAUAUUUAAAAUUUUUUUAAAAAAUGAAAUUAAAUUACCUUAGGGAUAACAGCAUAAUUUUUUUAAAAAG